Molecule: ribosomal RNA, 464 nt
Filed under: Vreelandella stevensii
Lineage: Bacteria; Pseudomonadati; Pseudomonadota; Gammaproteobacteria; Oceanospirillales; Halomonadaceae
Description: partial 16S ribosomal RNA
Rfam family: Bacterial small subunit ribosomal RNA
Source: RNAcentral
CCUACGGGUGGCAGCAGUGGGGAAUAUUGGACAAUGGGCGAAAGCCUGAUCCAGCCAUGCCGCGUGUGUGAAGAAGGCCUUCGGGUUGUAAAGCACUUUCAGUGGGGAAGAAAGCCUUGGGGCUAAUACCCUCGAGGAAGGACAUCACCCACAGAAGAAGCACCGGCUAACUCCGUGCCAGCAGCCGCGGUAAUACGGAGGGUGCGAGCGUUAAUCGGAAUUACUGGGCGUAAAGCGCGCGUAGGCGGUCUGAUAAGCCGGUUGUGAAAGCCCCGGGCUCAACCUGGGAACGGCAUCCGGAACUGUCAGGCUAGAGUGCAGGAGAGGAAGGUAGAAUUCCCGGUGUAGCGGUGAAAUGCGUAGAGAUCGGGAGGAAUACCAGUGGCGAAGGCGGCCUUCUGGACUGACACUGACGCUGAGGUGCGAAAGCGUGGGUAGCAAACAGGAUUAGAUACCCCUGUGUC